Molecule: ribosomal RNA, 380 nt
Filed under: uncultured eukaryote
Lineage: Eukaryota
Description: partial 18S ribosomal RNA
Rfam family: Eukaryotic small subunit ribosomal RNA
Source: RNAcentral
CAAUAGCAUAUAUUAAAGUUGUUGCGGUUAAAAAGCUCGUAGUUGGAGUUCUGCCAGGUGCCGCCUGUCCGCCCCAGUGGUGAGUACGUGGCGCGCAUUUGGCCCUUUCAAGGGGAGCGUAUCUGCACUUUAUUGUGUGGUGCGGGAUCCUUGACUUUUACUUUGAGGAAAUAGGAGUGUUCCAAGCAGGCUCUCGUCGUGCACAGCUCAGCAUGGAAUAAUAGCAUUGGACCUCGAUUCUAAGCUGUUGGUUGCCAGAAGCGAGGUAAUGAUGAAGAGGGAUAGUUGGGGGCAUUCGUAUUUAACUGUCAGAGGUGAAAUUCUCGGAUUUGUUAAAGACGGACUACUGCGAAAGCAUCUGCCAUGGAUGUUUUCAUUGA